GCACGGAUGGCAGAGUGGACAAUUGCACCAGACUGUAAAUCUGGCGGCCUUGCGCCUACGGGGGUUCGAAUCCCUCUCCGUGCACAA
RNAcentral lists this transfer RNA (87 nucleotides) under Candidatus Colwellbacteria bacterium CG10_big_fil_rev_8_21_14_0_10_42_22. Its description in RNAcentral is "tRNA-Tyr". It matches the Rfam family "tRNA". From Rfam's summary of the family: Transfer RNA (tRNA) molecules are approximately 80 nucleotides in length. Their secondary structure includes four short double-helical elements and three loops (D, anti-codon, and T loops). The record is from RNAcentral. Lineage: Bacteria; Candidatus Colwelliibacteriota.